GUAGGGAAUAUUGCGCAAUGGGCAAAAGCCUGACGCAGCAACGCCGCGUGGGUGAUGAAGUUCUUCGGAAUGUAAAACCCUGUCUAGAGGAAAGAAACUUCCCAAAUCAAAUAGCUUUGGGGACUGACGGUACCUCUGGAGGAAGCUCCGGCCAACUCCGUGCCAGCAGCCGCGGUAAUACGGGGGGAGCAAGCGUUGUUCGUAAUCACUGGGCGUAAAGGGUGUGUAGGCGGGUAAGCAAGUCGGGCGUGAAAACUCCAAGCUUAACUAGGAGCGGGCGCUCGAUACUACUUGUCUUGAGUACGGGAGAGGAAAGUGGAAUUCCUGGUGUAGCGGUGAAAUGCGUAGAUAUCAGGAGGAACACCGGUGGCGAAGGCGGCUUUCUAGCCCGAUACUGACGCUGAGACACGAAGGCUAGGGGAGCAAACAGGAUUAGAAACCCUGGUAGUCC
Molecule: ribosomal RNA, 451 nt
Filed under: uncultured bacterium
Lineage: Bacteria
Description: bacterial SSU rRNA
Rfam family: Bacterial small subunit ribosomal RNA
Source: RNAcentral